GCCUUUGAUUUUAAAGGAAAAGGCACAGACUUCUAAUCUGUAGGUUGCAGGUUCGAGUCCUGCAGGGAUCGCCA
This 74-nucleotide transfer RNA is filed under the name Rhodospirillales bacterium. RNAcentral describes it as "tRNA-Arg". It matches the Rfam family "tRNA". Rfam says of the family: Transfer RNA (tRNA) molecules are approximately 80 nucleotides in length. Their secondary structure includes four short double-helical elements and three loops (D, anti-codon, and T loops). Further hydrogen bonds mediate the characteristic L-shaped molecular structure. tRNAs have two regions of fundamental functional importance: the anti-codon, which is responsible for specific mRNA codon recognition, and the 3' end, to which the tRNAs corresponding amino acid is attached (by aminoacyl-tRNA synthetases). tRNAs cope with the degeneracy of the genetic code in two manners: having more than one tRNA (with a specific anti-codon) for a particular amino acid; and 'wobble' base-pairing, i.e. permitting non-standard base-pairing at the 3rd anti-codon position. The record is from RNAcentral. Lineage: Bacteria; Pseudomonadati; Pseudomonadota; Alphaproteobacteria; Rhodospirillales.